Molecule: long non-coding RNA, 818 nt
Organism: Gymnogyps californianus (California condor)
Lineage: Eukaryota; Metazoa; Chordata; Aves; Accipitriformes; Cathartidae
Exons: 3
Source: RefSeq, a predicted model, not a curated record
GUUGACACUGUCCUAUUCAAGGAGAUGGCAAAAAGAUGGCUGUGACAGAAAGGAUAAGCUUCUUUGAAGUCUUUGUUCAACAAGGCCCACCCCCUCUGGAUGGGAAGACGAGUGAUCAAGUGACAUCUACACCAGAUCUAGCAGUUGUCAUACCAAGGAUUCUGUUGUCCUUGAUGUCUUAUCCUUUCUCAGUGACGUAAAUAUGGAGUGCACAGAGAACAACUUUAUAUAGACUGAACUUAAGGACGCAUUCCAGAAGUACACCUAAUACGCUUCAGCCUCAAGUGAACAUUGAGACCAUGGGAUGAGAAGGGCUAAUCUGAAAUGAAAAUGCUGUCAAAUGGAUGUAACGUGGAUAUGAAGUUCUAUGCACCACUGUUUCAUUUUGUAAGUCUUCUCCUGCUAGGCCACAUUAUUUGCAAAUAUAGACAUGACCAGUGAAUCCAGGAUUGGUCUAUGUAUUCGUUGUUUUGAAAGGCACUGUGCUCUUUGGUGCUUUAGUAGCUUCCUUAAAAAACGUUGACUGUUGUGAUGGCUUACAGAAAUGGGGAGCAUUUCAGUCGAGAUUUAAUAUGAAAUUGAAAUUAUGAGAAGGAAAGAAAUACCUGAAAUUAAUUUGAGACUGUGAUUCAUCUUCUGAGUUUAAAAAUACUGUGGAUUAUAAUUUAGAGGGCUCUUGUAUGGAAUUGUUAUUACCAAGUACUGUGCUUGACUGGUUUAAAACAUAAAUGUCUUAGAGAAGAUGACAUUUUCAGGAUGCAUGUCUGCAGAACCAACUUAUCACCAUAAAUUAAAUGCUCUGCUUAGAGUUAAAUAGC